UUCUGGGUCUUAUUUUUUUGUAAGUGAAUUACUAUGUUUAAGCUUUCAACCUGUUCUUCAGUGAAUGGAUAUUCAAUGACUCCUUUUCAGAGUGCAGUUCUUUGCUGCUGUAGAGAAAAGGCUGCAGCUACAACAGAAAUAAAUCGCACAAGGCACAUGCAAGCAAGAUAUCUCCCACAGACAUUCUUCAGCCUAAACUCCACAUUAGUGUUCAACUACAUGUCUCAAGGGAAUUUUUCUGAAGUAUUCCAACAUCAAUAAAAUGACGCAAAGGUGGAAGAAAACUUCUAUGGGGCCAUCGUGCCAGCAGCUCGAGCGCUGCGUGCUCAUUAAAGACUUCCUAGAAACCUGCCCAGAUGCCAUCAAAGUCCACUAAUAAUGGCAGCCUCUGCUGGUAAUUGAGAAACAGAAUAUUUUAGAUACUCGAGAACUUGUUUAUUUUAAAAUACUGGCAAAAUGAAACUGGUGUGCUGGCAGCCCAGUGAGUGAGAACCGGACCAUGUUUCUCAGCUACUGGAGCUCAUUCCCUGGAUUUCGGUGGUGCCGAGCCACUUCCCACAAUCUCGGGAAAGGUGGUCCAGGGAAGGAGGCAGCUCUGCCACGCUCCUUCACGCGUCGGUUUGACAUCGGUGCCGGCUGGCAGACAGCUUAUUUCAUCUUUCAUUCCAGCGAUAUAGGCACCAGCAGCAAAUAGACCUGUUUCUGCAGCGCCCGCCUGGGUUGUCCCUGCUGGCACGUGAGGGUCAAGGUGGAGACGCUUCCUGGGCCUCUGCUGCUGGGAGGCAAGGUGAGAGAUGAUUUGCUCCGUUUCUGUCGGUGUGGUCUUGCCUGGGCAGCCUGGCGAUGCUCGUGGUGUUUGCUGCCGGCGGGUUGCGUUUUCCCACCGCCGUUGUGGUUGCACGAAGAAUGUAAUAGCGCUUCAGAAGGACAUGGCAAAAGAUGUAGCUCAUCUCCAGGAAAAGCCACAAUUUCUCCCAGGCUCAUACUGCCUAAGUAGCUCCGAGUAGAUGACCGCUUCAGAUGAUUACAGAGUUUCCCUGACCUGAGCCACUGACAGUUUUUUCUGCUGCUUCAUAUAGCGUAAGUUUUCUUAAAAAGUCUAUGGCUGGAAAUUUAUAUGUAUUUUGUAUUUAUACGUAUUCGUAUUUAGAUGUAUUUUGUAUAUACACAUACAAUUCCUGAUAACUCAUAAUGUUUCUAUUAAGUUCAAAGAAUUUGGCAUAUUAUGGGUAAAAUAGGAAACCAACUCAGAUUGUGAUUUUGUCUGUGUGUAGAAAAUUAAAUGCAAGAAUUUGAGAGAAUUUUAAGGUGUGCUCUCUAAAGCAUAAAGAAGUCACUCUUAACGUAUGGCAUUUUGCAAUAGGUAUGUGAAUAGUUAAGCCGAGUACUCUGGCUAAGUUAAGCAGUGCAGCCCCCAGCUUUUGGGAGGAUAUUCAGUGAAGUCAGGCCUCCUGGAAUCAGACGAGCUCUCCAGCUUUAGGAAGGUUUGUGCCCUAAGGUUUGAAGGUUUAUACUUCUGGUCCAAGGUUAAUUCGUGUUUACUUCUAGUAGGGGCUGAGAUCAGCUGAAACUGAAUUUGAAUUUACAGAACAAGUAAAUGGGGAAAGAAGUAAAAACAAAUCCUGAUAAAGGUGCAAGUAUCUCCUGCAGCAUAUAUACUUGCUCUUUUUAUUAAAUUAUAAAUCAAGGUUGGAUGAGUUGUCACUCUCUCUAACCCAUUUUUUCUGUUUGUUUCUUCCCCACGUAGAGCGUUUUUUCCACAGUACGUGCCUUCUCUAAGCUUUGGCAAAAUAAGAGUUCUCAGAAUGUCUCAAGGUACACUGACAGCAUCAGAAAUUCAAUUUAUUUUCAUUAGAAAGAGAUUUCAAUCUGCAGACAAGAACCUCUAAAGUUUGUGGUAGCUUGUGGUAUGCUCUGAAACCCAGCUGACUGGUUUUAUUAGGGAACUGCUGUAAUUGUCAAAACAGCCUGGGCGCUUUUUGUCUGUCUUCCUUCAUGAAAGCUAAUGUACAGGAAAACGGUGUGGCUUUUGCAUUGUCUGUUCUCAAAUUUUAGUCCCCAUGUCUGAUGUUCAGUGCUGUCAUACGCUGCUUUUUUGUAUCUUCCUACAAAAUAAAAAGUUUUGCAAAUUUUUCUCCAAAACACAACAUUUGGACCGCAGUUAAACUGGAAACAAUACUGCUGUACUGUGUUUGUAGUUCUGUAACAACGCUUUUUCAUCGGAGGAUCUGAAUGCAAAAUUUCCAGCCAGGCGCUGUCCCUAGCUGAGCACGCAAAUAGGAAGGAGCCGAAGGAGCUCUCCUUCGCUCGCUGCUUCAUGCCACGUUUACCCAAAGCCAGGGAUAACAAAAGCUCAGCCGUUGCUCCAAAGCAGAGUUUAUUGACCCCAGAAGUGGAGGCAGAGCCGGGGUGGUUGCACCUUGUCUGCGCUCCCCUCGGCACCUCUGCCCUCUCCUCUUGCUCUGCCUUGCAGUUAAUUCCCGUGUCGUGGUGGGCCCAGGGGGCACGUGGGGCUUCCUAUAGCCGUUACAGACAGAGCCUGGUUCCUUUUCUUUCUUUAAUACCCAGUGGAAGCCACCUGGAGAGACUAUGACAUUUUAAGGAUGUGCGAUGGUACCCCAAAUAGAUAAACUGAGGCACACCAGAGUGAAAUCAGCUGCUCAUGGGUGUAUCUCUAACUACGUUCCCCUGGAUGUUGUAUUUUCUUUUAUUAAAAUGAAUGUCUUGGCUCUGUACUUGGCUAUUCCAUCGGCAGGUGAAGUGUAGCGGGCUGGAAUGACUCAUUAAUAAGGUGUUGUGAGAGUCUAUUGCCCUGUGCCAACUCUUCCUUAAAAAAAUUCACCAUAAUUUUCUUUCUUUUUUGUGAAGAAGCUUGGGAACCCAAUUAACUUUUUAUCUAGUUGUUAUUGUUUCACCUUGAGAUGGGAGCUAUAAGCGCUUUGAUAAAUGGGUCAGAAGUCUGUGUAGCUCCAAAAGAGCUUUCCCCAGCCCGUGGGCCGUUUGGGGCUCGCGGGUUUGGGUGCUCCCCUGCGAGCCACGGCACCUGCCCAUCGCCGCUCGCGGGAACGGCGCAUCGGAGGGGGUUAUUUCUCUUUCCUCUCAAUUUAGGAACAGAGACAUUGUCUUAAAGCUGUGUUAAGUCAGGUCUCAACCCUCUUGGCAGUGGUGUCACGUGCCCUGUACUUCUACUGCAGGUUGGCCUCAACCUUUUUAUUUUUGGGGGACUUUUUCUAUUCUUAAAGAGCCUUAAUGCUUUUUUUCCCAAAGGUAACUAUGGAACGGCUGUAGCAGCCACUGGCCGUUGUUCUUCCGAGCCGAUAGUGGAGAUGGGCUGCCCUUGGUGUGCAACCAGCAGGAAGGAGCCAUCCUGGCCCCAGACCAGGACCCUGUGGCCGGACAGGGCUGCGGUGGCGGGAGAGGUGGUGAGCCCUGCCGUGUCCCUUUGGCAGCUGGAGGACACGUGUGCUGGGAAAAGGGGCAACUUCCCAAGGUGCCUGGGAGUUUGGGGGCAGAGCACCUUGGUGCUUCCUUCACUCCAAGUCCGUAUUUCUUCCCAAUCUUGUUUCAAUACUGUAGCACCAUGCGUUGUUACGUUAAUUAAAUAUUCUAUAUUAUGAAUUGCUCCUCAGAGGCUGCAGCGUGCGGAGCAGAUGUCAAAUCCAGCUGCAGCUCUGGACGUGGCCAUCGGGCUCUGCCGGAAAUGAUGAGGCAGGGGGACGGGGAUGUCCCCGCUCCUUUUCUCCACCGUGGGACCCAGGCUGGCUCAGCACAGCUCUGGCCCCGGGUUGCGUUUCAGCCAGGAUCUGUGUCUCUGCCGGGGAUAGAGGAGGAACCACAUGUGCCUGCAGCCCCUCACGGCCCCGGGCGGAGAGGCAGCGAAGAGGAGAGUGCGACAAGUACGAUGCGUGCAAGAUACCUCCAACAAGAACUGAGCGGUAGCAGGGUUUGCAGCAUGACUCCCUCUAAAUCUGAGUCCUUGUGUCUGAGAUUUGGCUCACAAGGGAUAGCUCUACACUGGCGUGUUUCAUCUGAAAGACCUCUGCGGGGACUUUUACUAAGGUGUUCGUGGAGACUCAUCGAAACCAUGUUUCUCUCUGGAAAGAUGCUGUCUAACUGCAGCCUUUUCUGAGGCAGAUGAAAAGUGAGGUAGAGGAUGGCCACAGUGAAGUGCAGAGCUUCUGCGACCCCCAGGCUGGGAACAGAUGUCAGGCGUAUGCAUCAGCAGAUCUAUCCAGACACCAGGCAUCCCGAGGACUGGUGACACCAGUGACCUGGGGCCUGGCAUCUGCCUGCCGUAGCAAAACUGACACCUACUAGGGUGCUUCCAGGAUGCACGGACCAGCUGCGAAGACCUGAAAUUAGAAAGUUCACCAACGGUAUCUAAGGAAGUCAGCCGUGAUGGGUGUUUCAGAGCAGCAUCCUCAGGAGGAAGCGGUUCAACCCGUAGUUACGCAGCUGGGUCUGCUGUUAUCUGCGACGCUCUCCGCGUGACCGAGCCACGUGGUUGCAGUAUCUUCAGAUAAAUGAGGCAACAGUCGCAAGCAAGCAGUCUGCAGCACGGAUCAAACUCAUGGGAAAGGCGGUGAACAGCCCUCGUGACUCGCGAGCUGCUGGGCCUCUCCGUACGUGAAGGCGUCAGCCAGCCCUUCGGCUCUGGCCUCUUUUCCUUGUGUCCCUGGGGAAAUAGAAGUCCGAUAUGGAAAGCUGCACCAAAGCUAUGAAUGUGUGCGUGGCUCCCUUUUCCCGCUGAUUUCCAGGAAGACUUAGGUGCCUUCACUGCCCUUUGUGCUUCCGAACGUACCACCCAAACAGCCUCUUAGUUGAAAUAGAAAAUGAGGCAACAACACAUUAUAAUCGGUGCCUUUCUUGAUGCAUCAGAUCGAUGAUACAUGUGCUUUGUGUUUAUAGACGAUAGAAGAACUUUCAAAACCAAGAAAACAGCAGAAAAUCUGUUAUUUAUUUUUCUCUCCUACUCAUGUGAUCUUUGCUACCAGUGGAGCCUCUGAAGUAGGGCAGAGGCAACGAUAUCUGGGCCCAGUAUGGCUAAUAUUCAAAACAACAACAAAAGAUAGAUUUUUUUUCUUUCUUCUUUUCUUUCUGCCAGGGGUAUUUUUUGAGAUGACAUUGUGAAAUUGGUCUGGCUAGUUGUGAAUGAUGUAUGAAAGGGAAAAAUCCCUGCCUGCAACACAAAGAAACACACAGUGCAACCAGAUCACCGUGGCUGUGCUAUGGUAUGCUAUUUGCCGAGUCCUUUGCGCACAGACCCACCAUUAAGUUUGGAGCUAGAAAGAAAAGGCCAUCGUGCUUGCAUACAUUGAAAAAGGAAAAGAAUAGGUAAGAAGAAAAACAGGGUUUAAAAAUACUUAUUCUCUUUACUGCUCUGACAUAUAUCCUUUUUUCUGGGAAAAGAUUUGCUAGAGUUUGAUAUUUUGUUCCCGCAGAACAAUACUCAUGUCGUACCCGUGGAUAAAAUCAUAACGGUAGUUCUUGGAAAGCGCGGAAAGAUUACAGUCAACAGUAUCCAUCUAUCUGUAAUUUCAAAAUACAUUUUAUCUUGCAGAUUUCUGCUUACAGUGGAUCACAAAAGCCUUGCCAGGACUAGCAAGACAAGUUCAGAUUUAACCAAACGUUUUGUCAAAUAUCUAAGUGAAAAACAGUCUAUUUGCAUAAAUAUUUGGAAUUAAAUACACUGACUCUGCAUAUGAGGAAUAAGAAUAGUGUACCGAGGGUGUUCUCUUGGCAAAACAUGGCUAUUCUGGGAUAUUUAGUAGCGAAGCAGAUGUCCUGGGGAAACGGGAGAGCUGGGGUUCCUCCACCAGCACAGGCUGUUAUUUAUGUCACGUUAUUGGGCUUGUCCCUGCUUCCACAGCCACGGUGAGCACAGCCCUGCUUAUUCCUGAUACCCUUCAGAGGACAGUUCUGGGAUCCAUAAAAAUACAAUAAAAAACACAUCAAAAGUACCUAUUGCGAAAGUUUAUUGAGUAGUUUUCUGUCAAGGAGUUUUUCUGACUACACUUUUGCAUAUGUGUUAAAGAGGUUGGAGUGAAGGUAAGCUAUUAAUAAAAGCAGACUAACAUUGCAGUACUUUAGGCAUUUCUGCAUACAGGCUCAUACGCAUGAAAUGCAGUUUUAUUGUUCAAGCAAAUCGUAUCUCUAGAAUUUAGAUAUGUUUUUAAGUUCAGAAUAAACCUUUCAUGGAUUCAAAGAAGGUGUUGCUAUCGGAAAUGAAAUGCUGAGAACUCGAGAAAGGACAGUGCUCUGCUGCUACAGAUUUAUACUUGCCUUUCGGCUUUCCAUAAUUUGCCUUAUAUCUGUUGCCGUGUCCUAAGAAGCAGAAAGGAACGAAGUGGCAAUGUCUUGAUGGGCAUAGAAAAGAAAGAUGGUGCAAUGGGAAGCAACUAAAUGCAGGGUCUUCUCUGCGUUACUGCAGACAUGGUAUCUGUAGUCUAAUCUGUUUGUUUGUGCUGCAUCGCUGCCUAGAAACCUUAAUCGUGGACGUGAAUCCUGCUGUGCAUGGUGCUCUCAAACACUGAAAAAAGACCAUCUUGCCCAACAAGCAAAUAUGAAGUGGGUAAUGUAGAUUCAGAUUUGAGAUGUCUGAAACUGAAGAGCCUAACAGAGUUAUUCCUUCUCCUCUGCAAUUUUCUCUAGAAACAGAAGUAUUUGAAGAAUCACUCACACUAGUUAACCUGUGAUCCAGUUUACAGCCCCAACCUUCUUAAGAAGAAAUAACUAUGAAAGAAAUCAAUAUAUGAUCCAAAAUUAAAAUAAAAAAUUCAAGUCAAGGUAGAUUUUUCCGCAUUUCAGACACAAAUUUGACUUCAAGCAACUUAAGUAGAUAGUCAAUGCCUAUAAUUUUUAUAUCUUGCUAUAUAAAGUAAUGUUUCAGCUUUAUAAGGAUAAUAUUGCAUUAGGAUUGAAAGCUCACUGGAAGACACAUAUAUCCAUAAUCCAUAACAAAGGUUAAAUCAAAUGACCUUCUGCAGAUCAGCUGGAAAGAAAAGAAAGUAGUUGAGACAAUUGGAAGGAAUUUCACAUACAAGAAUAAGCAAUGCUGCUUAAAAUCAUGUUCCAUCUUUUUUGCCAAAGUGAAAUGAAGCUAAAAUAAUGAAUCAUUUUUAAGUCCAGUGCAGGCCAAUUGCACCUUUAGAUUCUGCAAAUAUAAAUGACCUAAUCUAAAAGUCAUUCUUCAGUGAUGAUAAAUAAUGUUGUGGACAACAUACACCUCAGCAAAAGGUGUGGACUGAUACCUAUUCUAGAGAUUGAGAUGUCUGUCUAGAAAUAUUCUGCAGAGAUGUAUACAUACCACUUGCCUUUUGUGGAUGUCAGUUAUCCACACCUUCUCUUCAUGAAGUAUUGAAUUCGUUCUUAUGUAUCAUCCAUAACUUCAAUGAUUUUUUUUCCUCCGUGCACUCUUAUCCAGUUCAAUAGAUACCUUAAGGUUACUUUAACCUUCAUGAUGUCUUAGAAUUCUUUCCAGUACAUAAUUGAACAUUAAAAAAAAAAAAAAGGGCCCAUUACAAAAGGCUGAAACAUUCAUUUUACUGUUGAAACAGAUGCAACAUGAAUUUAUUUAGUUCUAAAGACUGCUGUUAUCAAUGCCUAAUUCAUUUCUUCACAAUGCAGAAAGAUAAAGAGAAGCACUCUUUUCCCAAGGUUAUAACUACCCUAAUUCGUUCCAGGUUUCUGACUUGUAACAAGUUACAUUUGCACAAUCAGUGAUUGAUCGCAGUUUGUUAGAACAAGGCAUAAUUCCCCACCCGUUCUCUGUUUCUGAUUUAUGAAUGGGGCACAUAGUACCAUCUAAUAUGUACAUUCUGUUCUUAUAUUUCAGUAAAACUUAAUGCAUAUAUUUUGAAGGCAAAUUUUGCUUAAUAAUAAUGUCAGUUGUGUACCCUGGCUUGCAUAAAGGAUUUUUUCAAACAG
This is a long non-coding RNA of Dromaius novaehollandiae (emu), 7926 nucleotides long. RefSeq lists it as uncharacterized. NCBI's taxonomy places the organism in Eukaryota, Metazoa, Chordata, Aves, Casuariiformes, Dromaiidae. The transcript is spliced from 10 exons. The record is from RefSeq and is a predicted model, not a curated record.